GAGCCCAGCCCUGAUAGGCAACCUGGA
This 27-nucleotide small RNA is filed under the name Bombyx mori (domestic silkworm). RNAcentral describes it as "ovarian small RNA-15786". Lineage: Eukaryota; Metazoa; Arthropoda; Insecta; Lepidoptera; Bombycidae. The record is from RNAcentral.